GGUGGCUGCCGUGAUGUGAGAACACUCAACAAGUCCUAUGGGGAGACCCACAUGGUGAGGAACUGAGGCCACUUGCCAAUGGCAGUGUGAAGGCACCAUCUUGAAAGUGGACCCUCCAGCCCCAGGCAAGCCUUCACAUAAGACUGCAGCCCCAGCUGAUAUCUUGACUGCCACCUCAUGAAAGACCAUGAACCACAGCCAUCCAGCUAUGCUGCUCCAAGUUCCUGACUCACAGAAACUAUGCCAUCUACUCAAAGAGAGGGACCUUAUUGUCUAGUUUGCUUACUGCCGUGUGCCCAGAACCCGGAAGGAUUCUUGCACAUAAAGACUGGCUUCCGUCUUGUGGCACUCUCUUGUUUUCUUGCCUGCUGGCUGCAUCGAAACAACGAUAGUGUGUGAGCUACCCUAAAGAGAAUCACACGUGGUGGUGAACUGACAAAGGCCUCCAGCCAAUAGCCAAUGAGGAACUGAGGCCCUCAGUGCCACAGCCCAUGAGGAACCGAUCCUGCCCCCACCACUGAUUUCACUUAGAAGUGGAUCCUGACCCUUUGGAACCUUGAGAUGAGCCCACAGCUGUGGCCGACACCUUGGUUGCAGUCUGUGAGAGGCCGUCAGCCAGAGGACCCGGCUCAGCCACGCCUGGAUUCCUGCCCCACUGAAACUGUUGGGUGUGGACGGAAGAACAAAGGUGCAGAAGGAGGAGGGAAAAGACACAGACGCAAGCUGAGGCGGCCGUGUGAAAUACCACAGGAGUUCAGGAUAUGAAAUCAGGCUAGGGUCUCAGGUUCCCUUCACUGCGCCAUGUGGCCUCGAAGAUGGUGUUCAGCCCUGCUGGGUCCCUGUGUCUUCGUCUCUACCCUAGGCACGGCACAAUUUUCCUCCCUAUCGUGCAGCGAAGAGUAAAUCCAAAAGCACAUGGAAGGGGAGACCAUGACAGGGCCUUUGUUA
Long non-coding RNA from Prionailurus viverrinus (fishing cat), 948 nucleotides. RefSeq lists it as uncharacterized. The transcript is spliced from 4 exons. NCBI's taxonomy places the organism in Eukaryota, Metazoa, Chordata, Mammalia, Carnivora, Felidae. The record is from RefSeq and is a predicted model, not a curated record.